Molecule: ribosomal RNA, 438 nt
Filed under: Triticum aestivum (bread wheat)
Lineage: Eukaryota; Viridiplantae; Streptophyta; Magnoliopsida; Poales; Poaceae
Description: partial small subunit ribosomal RNA
Source: RNAcentral
AUGACUAUUGUGCUGCUAUAUGAAGCACCCGUUGGCAUUGCAAUUUUCUCUUUUGAUGGGGACUACUUCAAUGAUCCAGCAAAGAGUUUGAAAGAAUUUGUACAAAAUGAGACGGUGCCCUCCCUAGUUGACAUAGCUAAUAAUGCUAUUGACGAUCACCUGGCCAAGAGGCUCACUGACUUGUGUGGUUAUGAGAAGAAAUUAGUUGAAGGGUGUACCGAAUGUAAAGUAAUAAUUGGUGAACAAUAUAUUGAUCACGAUUUGAUUUUUCAUGGAAUAACAUGUCUGCAUGUUGACGUUCCGGAUUGUGAGAUGAGAAUUUGCACUAAAAAGAAGCCCAUGCGUACUUUAUCGCCUAAAAGACUAUCAGAUCCUACUAAAGAUUCAACGAUAUUCUUACAUCAACUUGGCAUUACUUGCAAGCUCGACAAGCAUUAA